GUAAGAUGUUUGCAGUUUCCCAAGAUAUCUUGUCUCACUAUCACUGUGUUUUCUUUUCCUCUCUGCUGGCUGGAUUGGAUCCUCCCUGCCUUUCCCCUGUUCAAGCUGCAAAAGCCAUAUUCUUUGCACAUGCAGUAUGUGUCUUGGAGGUGACCUGUCCCUCCCUCUGUGCUGCUGGUGACAGGAAAGCCUCUGUCCCUCAGCAGAGCCAUCCCAAACACAUCUUCCUGUUAGCUCCUGCAGCACAGUGCAUGCUUGUGGGCAGGAAGAUCAGGUGUAUGUGUCCAGGGAAGAGAUGAGGAGCUAUGGACAGGGACCUUGGGUGGAAGCUAUCUCCUUGGCUCAGAAAGCCCUGCUCAUUUCUCCAGCUUUGCACCCUUGGUGCUCACUGUACUGAUAUAGGGCAAGAUUCUGCUCAGCUAUACCACUGGCCUUGCUGAAAGGAUGAUAAUGGCUGUCUUAUCCAAGUCCUUGUGCCUACACGUAAAAUGUAGCAGUUUUGGACUACCUUGAUUUUCAUGAGCUGUGUCUACAAACAAACAAACAAAACAAACAAACAAUCAAAAAAAGGCCAAAGGAAACUUAUAUGGGGGCAAAUAUGUUGUCUUCAUGAUACAAAGAAACAUCUCGUUUGCUGACUCAGCUAUUUGUGGUGCAAGGAAAGGGAAAGGAUUCAUAGCUAACAAACGAUUUCUAACAAAAAUCUAAAUUUUGAGGAACUCUUUGCCAGUGCCUUUCAUAUCGGCCCACAAAUUAAGCUGUAGACAUAUCUUUUUUUUAUGAAUAUGAAAAUUUCCUUAUAGAAAGAUUCCCCCUCACUCUGUGAUCGGGUGGGACAGAAUCAGAGCUCUUCGGAAACCUGUUGCAUGCGCAGCCCCCUUGGUGGGACUAUUUAAGCAGUCAGCAUCAUAAAGCAUCCCUAGAAAGGGGAUUGUUGCUGCUAUUUUAAAAAAUGUGUUAUUAUUUAGGAUAUCGCAGUUCCGAUUACUUCCAGUGUGAGCGAUGUUCCAGAGGCCAGACUUUGUGCAUGCCCUUGCACUCACUCUCCAAACACAAUUGUGUUGUUGUCAGAUAUGCAAUAGAGGAGGCACUCAUAUUCAGGAAUUGCAUGUGAAAAAUUUGAAUCAUGUUGGACAUUCAUAGAAAUAACAUAGAAAGAGGAGUUCAUCUUUUAAAACUGGGGGGAAAAAAAAGCCCUUUUUGAGUAGUGUUUUGAAAGCAUCCUCAGAAUGGACAAGGCAACCCUCGCAAAAUGCUGUCUGUAAAACAGCAAGAACAAGUCAGAUAAUAAUCUAUUGCUCUUCUUUAUGAGAGGUAUGCUGGGUAAGUAGAAACAAAAUGAACCACAGAAUUAUGCCUUUAUGGCAUCAGAAAUGUCACCCCUAGGAAAUUAAAAGCCGCGCACAAUUGCCAGCAUUAAUCCCUGCCCUGGAUGCUGCAAAAAGACCCCUGAGUUUCCCUUUGGCAGAACUUCAAUUUCUUGAUGAUUUUUUUGUGUGUGCACAGCAGUGCCCCAGUUGACACAUCUGGGUCUGUGCCCUGUCUGUACCUGCUCAGCAGGAAUGUAAACACGGCACAGACACUGCUGCCUUUAGCUGCAUGAUCUCCUCACAUCGGCCAAGGGGAAAUGAUAGCAGUGUUUCUUCUGUCUCUACACUGUGAGCGCAUGUUUUGUGGCAGAAGAAGGAAAUGGUACUUUUUGCAGGUGAGCUACAGAACAGAGAAUGAAAUCCUCGUGACUCAGAGAAAGGAGAAAUAACAUAAAGGAAAGGUUAAAUCUGCAAAAGUGCCAUUCAUUCACUGUUCAGCUAAAGAGGCAGUAAAGAAAGUCUCUCAGACAGAUAACGUGACUGCAGCCACGUUAUGUUGGCUUUUCUUUGUCUUGCCCGGUUAAAGCUAUCAUGCUACACACAAGGACUGAUAUGGAAAGGUCAGCUACAUUGCUUAGGUGAGAACAGAGCAGCACUAGGGCAUUUCAGCAUGUUGCAGAUGCCUACCAGACAAGGGAACUGCUGAGAGUUCACAAAGAACACAUCUCGUCAAAGCUCAGUAAUGUGUCUGGGAAAUCUUGCUAAAUUUACCAGUGUUUCUUGCUUGAACUGUGUCCUGAUGUUCAAAGGAAGGCUCUGAGUAAGGACAUCUAUUGCCCAUUUCUAAUUCUGGCUACUAAUUUUGAAAAAAAAUCACUUUUCCUCAUGUCUGACUUCUCAGUAAUUUCAGAGUACAUGUGUGAAUAUACAUGUGGUCAUAUAAAAGACUUUUGUAACUGUUGGCAAAGAGCCUUUUUUCCUAUGGAACUUGGGAGAUGCUUGUGGAAGAGCCGGAAACAUAUCUUGUGUUUUACUUCUUUGUCCUUUGAAGACAGGAGUACUGCAGGAAAUACAGCUACCAGUUUCUGCUUCACAGUGCUUUUCUUCACUGUGCCAGUGCUAUGGCAGUAAUUAAAAUGACAGAUAAAUAACAUUCACGUUUGUUCUCCAAGCCCAGCAGUGGGAAAACUCUGCACAGCCCAAGUUAGAGCUGCAUGAACUGCAUUGACCCCUGCCUACACCACUUCAUCUACCUUAUGGGAGGGUUAUGUAGUUGAUUAUUAUUGCUAUUUGGAACACGGGGUUUGUUUAAUGCAGCAUUAGUGAGAGAAAAAAAACAUGUACUUCUCUGGGCAUACUCCUGUUCCUGCAAGGACAAGAGAACUUAGCUUCUUUUCAAUGGGAAUCCUGCUGUUUAUUUAAUAGCAGGUGGGAUUAAACCCUGCAAUAGGUCAAAGUGGGAGGAUCUGGAGUGACAUUCAGGACAUAUGUAAGCAUUUACUGGUGUGGUGUCCAGGUUCUCUAUGCACCACCAUGGUGUUUUGUUUUUGAGAGCGUGGGGAGGAGCAGAUAGCACGUGCAGCCUUGUUUCUUCAGUAUCAACAAGAAGCAACUCAGUUCAUCCUGUCAGAGGGAGAGCAGUUGGCGUAACUUAUCCAGCAGAACAGCUGAUACUGUGAAAUGUAUCUGAGAAUUAGUCAAACAGACCAAGAGUGAGUACAGCCUGCGGUUUAAUGACAGCUGAGCAAAGGUUCUCAUUGUACUAACAACAUCCUGUGUCUCUGUGGCAGUGAUGUGGUAUAUGCACACGUACUCCUUUGCAGUCAAUAACUUCUCAUCAGAUUUUCACACCGGCUGAUUUGGCUGUUAUUUAACAAGUGUGUUUUCCUCUUCCUGCCUUGCGUUUAUUUUUGUUGCUGUUGUUGCAGAAGUAAAAUCAUCUCACAUUUUCUCAGAAAUUCUUCAGAGUGCUGCUAAUGUUUUGCUUGAUGUUUUGCUGAAAGAGGUUUUGCAGGGACUUUUUAAAUGUCACAUCUGUUCUCAAAGUGCAUUUACUUAAUUGGCGUACAGUGCUGGAUGGCAUUCAGUACCUACACACGUACCAGCUAGGUACAAAGCUGCAUGGCUUGUCAGAGCAUACCUGAAAAAGAAACAUGAGCUCAGCUUCCUCUAGAAGUGUGGCAAGCUCUGAUGAUAUGGGAGAUAGCACAGCAGGGUGAUGCUCAUGGCAAGUGAUGGACACAGGUCGUGCUUGGUGGUGCCAAACAGAAGAAGAGGAAAUCUUUUCCAUGAAAAAAAAAAUCCUCUUACAUUUGGUGACCUUUCUGCCUGAAUAAAAACAAAAUCAAUAGUGUUAACAUCUCCUGUAAUGUUUGAUCUUUUCUUAUGUCCUUGAGAUUUCUUACGCAUAGGUAUUACAUUAUGUAAUAUAUUUUAUAUUUAGCAUACAAAUGAUGAAACGCAGCUUUCCCCAAUACCUCUUAUAGUAGAUAUCAACAUGCUUAAUCAGUGAGAUCAUCUAUCAUCCCCAUUUAAAGGGCUGGGAAACAGAGAAAAAUAAAAUGGUGUGCCACACAGGCCAGAAAUGCAGUGGCAAAGCCUGGAAUAAAAUUAGGUCUCAUUAGUUGUAGCCCAGUGGUCUCUUUGCUAGGAAAUGAUGCCUCCUUAUUUUAUAGUACAAAAAUAUAAAAACAUAGAGCAGCAGCACUGAAUAUAUUAGAAAAGGCUUGAAAGAAAGCAGUGGGAAAAUGUAAAAUCACACAAUAAAUUUGGAAACAAAACCUCUUCUGAAAGAAAAGGCAAAACGAUCUGUUCAAGUAAUGACUUUCACAUUCCACUGUGCUUGUUUUUCCGAAAACAAUCCACGAUUCCCAUAGAUUCCUCUAUAUUCUGCAAUCUAGUACUGAUAGAAGUGUGUUUUUUCAUUGGAAAAAUGUUUUUUUUUUUGACCGUUUUCACUUGCUGUAGAGGAAGAGAAGGAAAGUACGUAAAGCCAGCAGGACUGCUGGGAGGCCAGUAGGUUUUUCUUUUUCUAUGUUUUUCUUUUAUUUUGUGAGCUUUACAAAUGUGCUGUAAGCUUAGUUUAUGCUUCAAACGCAUUUUGUCUGGCAAAUCAUAACUGAUGCAAUAUGAUUUGAAAGUCUCCGCCAUCAUGCAGAAAUUACAAUUCUCUCCCCAGGGACCUUCCCCAAAACAUAAAGCAGAGCCUUCCUCCUCAUUAAAACAUUUUAUUGUGUGAAAAAUGACAAUGAGCCGUAAAAUCUGGAGGGAAAUGAUUGCUGCACACUAACAUAUGCUCAACGAUUUCAAUACCAGAGCGUGUGGAGGCUGUCAGUUGCACUUCAAGAUGAGGAAAUGAGCUUCUUGAUCUUGUCCGGAUGGAGGGCAAUUUAGAGGGACAUUGCAAGCAGAGCAGUUGGGCCCUGAAUGCCUUUUUUCAACACAGCAGCAGGAUAUCCAGCAAUCAGCAGUACGACGGCACUAGUUUGUUUUGUUUGCAAAAGCAUGUCUUACUGUCCCUUCGCUAUUCCUGCUUCACUUUUCUUAAAGCCGAUGAGAAUAAUUGUGGCUGUUAUUAUUAUGUACAAAAACGGCACAGAAAGAAGAUAAAGGUUGCCUACUCAGGCACUCAGAAGUUAGAAAAUAAUGGGAUUACUGUUGCCUUGACAACAUUUCCCUCUCCUUCCCCUGCCCCCAGUUUCAUUCCAGGAAACGGCUGAGGCACUUUGCUGAAACUCUGCAAAAUAAUUAAAUAAAAGAUUCAGCCAAAGAGAGACACCUGGCUUGGAAAACUUCCCCCUCCACACAUCUGACAAAACGAUAAACAGAUGAAAAGCAGGAUUUUUUGAACAGAAGAAGAAAGCUGUUUCUGGAGCAUAUCCCUUUGUUCUGCAAGGCACAGGAUCGUGUACACAGCAGCAGGAGGGGGCUCAGUUUCCUGCUGCUGCUCAUGGGAGGAGGACUUCCCACCCCAGGAAAGAGAAGACCAGGGGAAACUUGAGAAGGCUGCGAUGACACUGGAGGCACAGCUUCAGGGCUUUUAGCACUAUGCGUCACAUUCGUGUGACCCAUGACCAACAUGUAAUGUUGUGCCUGACGCACGUGAAGAGCUCUGCCUCUCUGGAGAGCGUCACAGAGGCUGCAGGGGUCCGGAGCUGGCAGCCCCCUGGGGCAGACGACAGCACCCUGUGACACCUGGUGCGUCAUCUGCAGCUGAGCUCCCAGUAAGGUCAGGCAGGAGACUGAUAAAUGACCCCACCUUGUCAACACCACCGUCAUUAGUGCUGUUAUCACCCUGCGAAUGGGAACGUGAAGGAAUUCAUAUCCCUGCCCUUGCCAAAGCUGGAGAGCAAGUGGGAACAGGAGCUGUGGAGGUGACUGUUCACACCACUUACAUUCUCCUGCAAAGCAGCACAAUGUUUGGUUUGUUAACCAAAGGGAUUUUGUAGCUGAUCAUUAAAUAUUAUUUCAGAUUAAUGGAAUUUAUAGGCUGUCUGAUGACGAUGAGAUUUCUUUCAAAGGAGGGACAAAAGACUUCAGCAUGCACUGGCAUGGCUAGAACACUAACAAAUCACUAGCGUGGUGGAAAGCCCAGAAAUGCUCUCAUGCCCCUUUUCUCAUGCAGCCUGUCUGAACUAACAGCACAUCCAAAAGCGGCAGGUAAUGUAGCCUGCACAGGGGCUGGAAAUGGACCCACCUGACCACGUUGAUUUUGACAAGUAACUUGACAGCACUGUGAGUGGCAGGAGCAGUGUGAUUUAUUCAAAAGUUGACUACUCUGGAAAAAAAAAAAAGAAACACAACUAAAUUUGCAUAUAAUGAGAUGCAUUUUAAAAUCAAAACAAUUAACAGCUAUGUUAUUUUUUCUUCCUUUGCUUUUGCUUGGAGCACGGUUAACCCUGAUGCUUAAAAUUCCCUUUGAAUGCCUUUUGGUGGGAAUCUGAUGGGAUGCAGGGAGCCUGGCAGCCCCUCCAAAUACCUCCAUGUACAACCAGCAGUGUUGGUGGAGUCUCGUCAGCACAUGGGAGACAUAAGGAGCUGGCCAAUCUGGCCCAUCAAGUCCUGGUUUGCAAACUCUGCUCAACUAAGUGAUACCAACAAUUGGAUCCACAGGUCUUGACUGGUCUGUUUGUGAAAAUUAUCUAAAGUGACAAGCAAGGUCUCUCACGACUGACUCAUAUAAGGUGACUGGCUCAUUCUUGUAUGGGGUGUGCUGGGUGUUACAGCUAUUGCUGACCUCAGACUGAGCACUGUGGCCUUUUGGUUCAAAAACAUAUGCUUCAAUGAGAUGCUCUGUGAGUUUGGUAACCUCGGUAUUCUAUGAGAAGUGUUUGAUUUCACAGAGGAAAGCCUAAGGACACUUGAAAUGUCUUGUUUCUGCAACUCUGAACCAGUUUCUUGUCAUCAGGUAACACCUGGUGCUUUUGUCAGUGCUAAGCAGCACGUUACAUUCUAUACUCUAAAAUGUUUGGAUCAGUUAUGCAUGGAUGCAAGAAAAUAAAACCCCGCUGUAUAUCUUUGCUUACUAUCUGUCCUCUGUCCCUGUCAUUCUAACACGCAUUUCAAAAGAAGACAGUGCUCUGCUUUCCAGUCAAAAUAUUAAAGAAUGCUUCUAAAAUACUUUAGUUAUAAAUAUGAAAAUGUUAUGUAAUGUGAGAUAUGCUACAGACUGCAGCUUGCGUAAUACAAAGGAGCAACCUCAGCAGAGAAGUCCAGAUGUACACUGUCUAAAAAUCUGGCCUAUAAAUUGGUGGUUAAUAAACACGGAAUAAUGUAUCAGGUAUUCAGCUAGGAGCACCAGGCUGCUAACAUCUGCCGUGAAGUGAAACUGGUUGUUCUCAACUCAGUACAUACAUGUGCUUUCCUGUACAUUCACACAGAGAGCUGGAUAGUGGCUCUAUAGGUGGCCAAAACAAAAGCUUUCUCCAACAAAGGGGAAUGAUCUGUGAUGGAAUUAUCUCUGGUAUUGGUACUGCAGGUUCCCUCCAGCACUGUGAUAGUUUUGAAAGCAUAAUGCAGACUGGUCUUGAGUAAGGACUAUUUUUUGCAACAGAACAACACAUGAAAAUCUAAAUCAUGCUGUAAAUUUGGGAACAAAAUGCACUUAAUCAGGACAUAUAGCCUGGGAAAUGCUCUCUGUUGUAUUUCACACUGAUGAGAGCUUCUCUUGAUUUGAUUUGUGUGUAGUGGAGCUUCACCAGAAAGAUUACAGGAAGUCUUAGGGCAAAUCUGCAGCUGAGACAUAGGUGUAGAGGGAUUUUCAAUCAGAAUAUCACUGACAAAAAUGUUUUGGCUAAAAUUAUUUUCCCUUACUGUGACUUCUGUCAGGGAAGACAGCAGUGUAGCACUGUCAUGGCACCCAACAGCAAAGAAUGCCACCACAAAGGAAAAUAGUAUUUACACUGAAAGGGAAAAAUUAGUUAAUGACCUGGUUUAAAACAGGAAACAAGGUGUCACGUUCUGUUCUUUGAAAGUAAAAAUGAUAAGAGCUUUGAUGAGUGGACACCAUAAUAAGGGCCUUGGUUUUAUGUCUCAUCCAGGUGCAGCUCCUCACCCUAUACAGCCAUCCAUCCAUUUCAGCACAGAGCAGUCCUUUUUUUCAUCCUGGACCACAGGAAGGGAUGUUGCCAGGCAGGGAACUUGUUCCCUCUGGCACAUGCUGUUAUUACUCCUCCUGGACAGCAUUUUCUUCCUCUCUUUUUCUAUUUCUUUCCUGCUUUUAGGUUCAGCAAUCCCUUUUUUACAUCUAGAUCAAACUGUCUUCCCUGUGAUGCUGUAGGUGGGACUCAGCUCUCACAAGGCCAAAAGAGCUGUGGGUCCCCCACAGGACAGGACCAGAAAGGCAAAGGGGCAAUGUUCCUACCCACUGGUGCUAUUGCUCAGGGAUGUCCCUGGUUUCUGCACUUAUAUCUAAAUCUACACUGGAGGCUCCAAGCCGGAGCCCAGUCACUUCACAUGGAGUUGAAAUCAUUAAGGUGCACAUUUCAGUAUUGUCAGGAUUUGGGAACAAUUACCCAUCUGUUGUUAAAUCUAAUAGCAAUUCUGUUUCACAGUCUGUUGUAAUUUACACCCUGGUUAUUAUCAUAACUGAAUAAAUGACUCUGGCAUGUCUUUGAACUCCCAGCCCUUUGUUGCCACCUCCCAGAGGAGAGGCAGUUACCUGCCAUAUAAUUGCUCUUAAAGUAUCUAAGAGCAAUGUCACACAAACUUAAAUUGCUGCCAAAGGUUUGCUUGUUUGACUUUGUCCGCAAAGGGGUGUGUGUGUUUGUACAGCAAGUCACGCUUGUCAGCUGGGAGGAAGUAAACACCUGCUGGGAAACAGUUGGAGCAGAUUUUAAGCUUCUUUUCCAGUGCUCUCACCAUGUGGCUGCUCCAUAUCCAUGUUGGUGCAAGGUCAGCAAGGCUGGAUCUGAUCACCGCCGUCUGCUGCU
Molecule: long non-coding RNA, 8740 nt
Organism: Gallus gallus (chicken)
Lineage: Eukaryota; Metazoa; Chordata; Aves; Galliformes; Phasianidae
Source: Ensembl